AGAGUUUGAUCCUGGCUCAGGACGAAUGUUGGCGGCGUGUAUAAGGCAUGCAAGUCGAGGGAUCGAUCGUAGCAAUACGAUACGGACCGGCAGACGGGAGAGUAACACAUUGGUAACCUACCUCUAAGACGGGGAUAGCCUUCCGAAAGGAAGAUUAAUACCCGAUAGUAACGCGGGGACACAAGUCAUUCGCGUUUAAAGAUUUUUCGCUUAGAGCAGGGCCUAUGGUCUAUCAGCUAGUUGGUGAGGUAAUGGCUCACCAAGGCGACGACGGAUAGGGGACGUGAGAGCGUGAUCCCCCUCACUGGGACUGAGAACUGCCCAGACACCUACGGGUGGCUGCAGUCAGGAAUCUUCCGCAAUGGACGAAAGUCUGACGGAGCGACGCCGCGUGCAGGAUGAAGCCCUUUGGGGUGUAAACUGCUUUUAUAGGGGACGAAUUUGUGACGGUACCCUAUGAAUAAGAGGUUGCUAACUCUGUGCCAGCAGCAGCGGUAAUACAGAGACCUCAAACAUUGUCCGGAUUCAUUGGGCGUAAAGCGUCCGCAGGUUGCCAUAUAAGUUAGGGGUUAAAUCUUCCGACCUAAUCGGAAAACCGCUUCUAAUACUGUAUGGCUCGAGGUUGGGAGAGGCAUAUGGAACUGCCGGUGUAGUAGUAAAAUGCGUUGAUAUCGGCAGGAACACCAAAGGCGAAGGCAAUAUGCUGGAACAACUCUGACACUCAGGGACGAAAGCGUGGGGAGCGAAAGGGAUUAGAUACCCCUGUAGUCCACGCCCUAAACUAUGUGUGCUAGGUAUUGGGAGUAUCGACCCUCUCAGUGCCGUUUAAAAAAGCUAACGCGUUAAGCACACCGCCUGGGGAGUACGGCCGCAAGGCUAAAACUCAAAGGAAUAGACGGGGACCCGCACAAGUGGAGGAUCAUGCGGUUUAAUUCGAUGGUACGCGACGAACCUUACCGGGGCUCAACUACUAGCUGCAAGCCUGAUGAAAGUCGGGCCGCUUUUGAAGGUGCUAGAUAGGUGCUGCAUGGUUGCCGUCAGCUCGUGCCGUGAGGUGUACCCUUAAGUGGGGUAACGAGCGCAACCCUCGUUCUGUGUUAAAUUUACACAGAGGACUGCCUGCGCAAGCAGGAGGAAGGUGAGGACGACGUCAAAUCAGCAUGGCUCUUACGUCCCGGGCUACACGCAUGAUACAAUGGUUAGUACAGAGGGAAGCUAAGCCGCAAGGUGGAGCUAAUCCCAGAAAGCUAAUCUCAGUUCGGAUUGUGGGCUGCAACUCGCCCACAUGAAGCUGGAUUCACUAGUAAACGCGCAUCAGCCACGGCGCGUUGAAUACGUUCUCGGGUCUUGUACUCACAAUAAAAGCGCUGGGCAGUUUAAUAAUCUAGAGAGUUAAAAUCUCUCCCUCUACAACGUCUGUAGAGCGUAGCCGAAAGAUAGUCGUCUUCCGCGAGGGAGGCGGUGAAGG
Molecule: ribosomal RNA, 1468 nt
Filed under: Candidatus Magasanikbacteria bacterium RIFCSPHIGHO2_02_FULL_41_35
Lineage: Bacteria; Candidatus Magasanikiibacteriota
Also listed under: 1 other name
Description: bacterial SSU rRNA
Rfam family: Bacterial small subunit ribosomal RNA
Source: RNAcentral